Molecule: long non-coding RNA, 1276 nt
Filed under: Ornithorhynchus anatinus (platypus)
Lineage: Eukaryota; Metazoa; Chordata; Mammalia; Monotremata; Ornithorhynchidae
Description: lncRNA (ENSOANG00000048867.1)
Source: RNAcentral
CAGUCCCUCUCCCACAUGGGGCUCAUUAAUAAUAAUAAUAAUAAUAAUGUUGGUAUUUGUUAAGCGCUUACUAUGUGCCGAGCACUGUUCUAGGCGCUGGGGUAGAUACAGGGUAAUCAGGUUGUCCCACAUAAGGCUCACAGUUAAUCCCCAUUUUACAGAUGAGGGAACUGAGGCCCAGAGAAGUGAAGUGACUUGCCCACAGUCACACAGCUGACAAGUGGCAGAGCUGGGAUUCGAACUCAUGACCUCUGACUCCCAAGCCCGUGCUCUUUCCACUGAGCCACGCUGCUUCAUUAUAAGCCCCUGAUCACUCAAGAAAAAUGGGGUGUGCAGAGACAAAGACAGACACGCGCAGGGGAUCUUCUGACUAGAAUGGUGUACGAGAGGGAUGAUGCAGUGUCCAGUAAAGGGUCACCUUUCAGUAUUCCCUCUCACACAUAGUAAGCGCUUAACAAAUACCAACAUUAUUAUGAUUAGAGUCCUUAGAACCACUCAUGAAAGAGGAAUAAGACGGGUACAGAUCUAGACAGUUACACUCCUAACACUAGACUCCCCCCACCACCCCAACGCCCUCCAAGGCAGCCCCUGUCCACUGCUCCAGCUCUGGAGGGGCUAAGGAGGUGCAGGGUGACCCCCUGGACACGACUGGGGGUGCAAGGAGGAUUGACCCAUCUGUAGAAUUAAGGACCCUGGACCUCAGUUCCACAGUCGAGUCGGACAGAAGCAGUUCCCUCCACAGAGACUUCGCCCCAGUUUGUCAAACCAGCCACAGCGUCGAGUGUGGCAGACCCCUUUGCUUACCUCUUCCUCUUGACGUAAGAGAAAGAGGGGGAUUCCUCUUGUUUACAUCUACAUUGUUCUGAAUCAGAACUACGCAAAAAUCAGAGCCUUCCGUAUAGCUCGGCACACAGUAAGCACUCAAUAAGUACGAUUAUCCCAUUUCCCCCACCAUCACCUUCACUUAGAGAUGGAAACGCAGCUCUUGAUUUCACCUCUCCGUGGAUAUCAGCUGCUCUGGGUCUUCACUGAAGGGAGAAGAGUCCUCUUGACCGGGAAGUGUGGAGAGGUUCCUGCGGGGCUCGGAAAUGAGCUGCUCCGUCUCUUCCCAUCAUCCGGACUCCUCGGACAUCCCCCUCCAGAAGACUCUGAGAUAUCACAAACCGUGGGAGACGCCCGAGAUGAGGGAGAUAUCAGAGCUCCAGACGAGGAAGAAAUCAGAGGCGACGGAGAUCCACACUGCACAGCGAAGAUCCUAUCCUCACGGCUGUGGUGA